GCGGAUGGCUGGAUGACCGCGUGGCGGGCGGGCCGCAAGGCCCGGCGGUCGCGAGGAAAGUCCGGACUCCAUGAGGCAAGGGUGCCGGGUAACGCCCGGCCGGGGCAACCCGAGGGAAAGCGCCACAGAGAAGAGACCGCCACGGGUUCGCCCGGGGCAAGGGUGAAACGGCGGGGUAAGAGCCCACCGCGGGACUGGCAACAGGACCGGCAUGGCAAGCCCCACCCGGAGCAAUGCCGAAUAGGGGUUUCGCGCUUUCGUCGGCAACGACGGGGCAGGGUCGCUUCAGCCCAGAGACCCGGGUUGGCAGCCAGACCCCUCCGGUAACGGCGGGGCCAGAGGAAUGGUCAUCCAGGGGAGGCAACUCCCUGGACAGAAUCCGGCUUACAGGCCAUCCGCGCGG
This 403-nucleotide RNase P RNA is filed under the name Deltaproteobacteria bacterium. RNAcentral describes it as "RNase P RNA component class A". It matches the Rfam family "Bacterial RNase P class A". Rfam says of the family: Ribonuclease P (RNase P) is a ubiquitous endoribonuclease, found in archaea, bacteria and eukarya as well as chloroplasts and mitochondria. Its best characterised activity is the generation of mature 5'-ends of tRNAs by cleaving the 5'-leader elements of precursor-tRNAs. The record is from RNAcentral. Lineage: Bacteria; Pseudomonadati; Myxococcota; Myxococcia.